GAUGAAGAACGUAGCGAAAUGCGAUAAGUAAUGUGAAUUGCAGAAUUCAGUGAAUCAUCGAAUCUUUGAACGCACAUUGCGCCCCCUGGUAUUCCGGGGGGCAUGCCUGUUCGAGCGUCAUUAUAACCCCUCAAGCUCAGCUUGGUGUUGGGGCCUGCUGCACUGGCAGCCCUUAAAAUCAGUGGCGGCGCCAUCUGGCUCUAAGCGUAGUAAUUCUUCUCGCUAUGGAGUCCUGGUGGAUGCUUGCCAUCAACCCCCAAUUUUUCUAUGGUUGACCUCGGAUCAGGUAGGGAUACCCGCUGAACUUAAGCAUAUCAAUAAGCGGAGGA
Molecule: unclassified non-coding RNA, 329 nt
Filed under: soil metagenome
Description: partial contains 5.8S ribosomal RNA, internal transcribed spacer 2, and large subunit ribosomal RNA
Rfam family: 5.8S ribosomal RNA (bases 1-120)
Source: RNAcentral